RNAcentral lists this long non-coding RNA (705 nucleotides) under Rattus norvegicus (Norway rat). RNAcentral's name for it is "long non-coding RNA NONRATT023969". The record is from RNAcentral. Lineage: Eukaryota; Metazoa; Chordata; Mammalia; Rodentia; Muridae.
GGCAUUAAAGCUUCGGUCUCAAGGUAUGCGGACUCCCGGGAGAAUGACUGAGGUCGGUGCAAGUUGGCCGUGACUGCCGAUCAUACAUACCGUCAGCUGCGUCCCAUCCGGUCUCAUUGCCAGGUGCUGAAAUUACACCAGAGGACCACCAUGUCUGACUGUAGAGUUAAACACUUCCCAUAAAAAUAAUCCAGUUUGAAUUAGAGAUUUAGCUCAAUUAUAGAGCAUAUUCCUUACGUGUAGGAGACUCUGUAUUUGAUAUCCAUCUCAUUCUGUUUCAAGAGCAAGAUCACAAGCCUGUAUUCUUCGUGGUUGUGAACGAAUUAUUUAGCCAAAUCGAGCCUCAAUUUUCCCAUCUGGAAAGUGGAACUGAUUGUUCGUAUCUACUGGGCUGUUCAUGAGCUAGGUGGUGUGGCCAUAGGAAGGAGAACAUGGCGGAAGAAGAGGACUAUAUGUCAGAUUCCUUCAUUAACGUUCAAGAAGACGUCAGACCCGGCGUGCCCAUGCUGAGGCAGAUCCGAGAAGCCCGGCGAAAAGAAGAAAAGCAACAGCAAGCGAAUCUGAAAAAUAGGCAGAAGAGCCUGAAGGAGGAAGAACGGGAAAGGCGUGACAUUGGGCUGAAGAAUGCGCUGGGCUGCGAAAACAAAGGGUUCGCUUUGCUCCAAAAGAUGGGGUACAAGAGUGGGCAGGCUCUGGGCAAGACUG